GCUGCCGUGGCGCAACUGGUUAGCGCGUGCGGCUGUUAGAUGAGAAUCUUACAGUUCACCGCAAGGUUGGUGGUUCGAGUCCACCCGGUAGCG
Molecule: non-coding RNA, 93 nt
Organism: Zopfochytrium polystomum
Lineage: Eukaryota; Fungi; Chytridiomycota; Chytridiomycetes; Chytridiales; Chytridiaceae
Source: the annotation of a GenBank genome assembly